ACACAGCAUCCCUGGAAGCCGAGACCCAACAACCCACUAUGCCUACAGGGUGGGGCCCCAAGGGAAACCCCAAACACAGAGGUUUGGGGGAGCACCCAGUCAAUGCUCCACACAUGGAUGCUGGGAAAGGAAUGCUGCCCUGACUCUGCGGGGAGAGGACCAGGGAAGAUCCACAUUUGGUACUUUCUUCAUCUCUGCACUGUGUGCCGCUUCCUUCGGUUGAUUUUUAUCUGGGCCCUUUAGCUGUAAUAAACCAUAGAUCAAGUAAGGCCAGCCAAGUUCAGCGUAACAGGAGUUUUAUGAGAAGGACCAAGGUAACCUCAAAGCCAAGAGUGACUUCAGGGGGAACACAAGUCUGACGGGAAGGCCAAGUACAGCAGGGAGACUAAGGAGGCGAGAGGGACAGGCGGCAGAGGCAGAGGCCAAAGAUGAGGCCCAUCGGCUCAGUUUUUUGGAAGGCAGGCCCAGACAUGAAAAAAGGAUGCCAGUGCUCUCUCUUCUCCUUCCACACAUCCCGGCUGUGACUCUCAGGCUAACACAACUGCCACACUGUUCACACAGGUUUGCAUGGAUACCCUGUGAAUGCAGCUACUGUUUACCCAUGUACAGCAGGGCCCCUAAGAAAACAUUUGUUGUGAAUCUCCAGUCCUUUCCCUCAGAGCAACCCCAGAAGUCCACUUCCUUAAUGGCCAGGCCCCUGCAGCCACCUCUGGACACCCAGGACAUCCUGGAGACCAGUGCUCAGAAUGACAAGCACGGUCUCCUCAGCCGACCAGACAAGCUUCCACAUACGCAGGAGAAACAUCUUUCAUCAUUCCAUCCAGCUAAAGUUGCAAGUUAUUACUGCUGCACGGUUAUGACUGCGAGAAAACAGAAAGAAAAUCUGGAAUAACAAAGACAUGGUUUAAGCACCAACCUAUCACUUACAAGCUCUAAGAGAUUUAAACACCAACUCAUCACUUAAAAGCUCUGUUAGAUAAUCUCUCAGAGCCUCAAUUUUCUUAUUUGCAAUAGGGACCGUAUAUACCUUUUAGGAUAGUCUGGAGGAUUAAAUAAAGUAACUUACUCAUGGCCAAACAUACCAUUCUCCCCAAUACACCCAGGCAUUUAUUCAACACCUAGUACAUGUAAGAAAAAAAUUAAAAAAAAAAAAAAAACAGAAAAAAAAACAUAGUACAUGCCAAGAUAUUAUGACAA
Homo sapiens (human) is the source of this 1197-nucleotide long non-coding RNA. RefSeq lists it as uncharacterized. The record is from RefSeq and is a predicted model, not a curated record. Lineage: Eukaryota; Metazoa; Chordata; Mammalia; Primates; Hominidae. The transcript has 3 exons.